Molecule: ribosomal RNA, 460 nt
Filed under: uncultured bacterium
Lineage: Bacteria
Description: partial 16S ribosomal RNA
Rfam family: Bacterial small subunit ribosomal RNA
Source: RNAcentral
CCUACGGGAGGCAGCAGUGAGGAAUAUUGGUCAAUGGACGCAAGUCUGAACCAGCCAUGCCGCGUGCAGGAAGACUGCUCUAUGAGUUGUAAACUGCUUUUGUACGAGGGUAAACUCAGAUACGCGUAUCUGUCUGUAAGUACCGUACGAAUAAGGAUCGGCUAACUCCGUGCCAGCAGCCGCGGUAAUACGGAGGAUUCAAGCGUUAUCCGGAUUUAUUGGGUUUAAAGGGUGCGUAGGCGGUCGGAUAAGUUAGAGGUGAAAUCCCGAGGCUCAACUUCGGAAUUGCCUCUGAUACUGGUCGGCUAGAGAGUAGUUGCGGUAGGCGGAAUGUAUGGUGUAGCGGUGAAAUGCUUAGAGAUCAUACAGAACACCGAUUGCGAAGGCAGCCUACUAAGCUACUUCUGACAUUGAGGCACGAAAGCGUGGGGAGCAAACAGGAUUAGAUACCCGGGUAGUC